This 462-nucleotide ribosomal RNA is filed under the name uncultured bacterium. Its description in RNAcentral is "partial 16S ribosomal RNA". It matches the Rfam family "Bacterial small subunit ribosomal RNA", at positions 28 to 506 of the family's 1533-position model. The record is from RNAcentral.
GACGAACGCUGGCGGCGUGCUUAACACAUGCAAGUCGAACGGAAAGGCCUUUUCGGAGGUACUCGAGUGGCGAACGGGUGAGUAACACGUGGGUGAUCUGCCCUGCACUCUGGGAUAAGCCUGGGAAACUGGGUCUAAUACCGGAUAGGACCGCACUUUAGUGUGUGUGGUGGAAAGUUUUUUCGGUGUAGGAUGAGCCCGCGGCCUAUCAGCUUGUUGGUGGGGUAAUGGCCUACCAAGGCGGCGACGGGUAGCCGGACUGGGAGGUUGGUCGGCCACAUUGGGACUGAGAUACGGCCCAGACUCCUACGGGAGGCAGCAGUGGGGAAUAUUGCACAAUGGGCGCAAGCCUGAUGCAGCGACGCCGCGUGGGGGAUGACGGCCUUCGGGUUGUAAACUCCUUUCGCCAGGGACGAAGCGUUUUGUGACGGUACCUGGAGAAGAAGCACCGGCUAACUACGU